CGUAACUAUAACGGUCCUAAGGUAGCGAAAUUCCUUGUCGGGUAAGUUCCGACCUGCACGAAUGGCGUAAUGAUGGCCAGGCUGUCUCCACCCGAGACUCAGUGAAAUUGAACUCGCUGUGAAGAUGCAGUGUACCCGCGGCAAGACGGAAAGACCCCGUGAACCUUUACUAUAGCUUGACACUGAACAUUGAGCCUUGAUGUGUAGGAUAGGUGGGAGGCUUUGAAGUGUGGACGCCAGUCUGCAUGGAGCCGACCUUGAAAUACCACCCUUUAAUGUUUGAUGUUCUAACGUUGACCCGUAAUCCGGGUUGCGGACAGUGUCUGGUGGGUAGUUUGACUGGGGCGGUCUCCUCCUAAAGAGUAACGGAGGAGCACGAAGGUUGGCUAAUCCUGGUCGGACAUCAGGAGGUUAGUGCAAUGGCAUAAGCCAGCUUGACUGCGAGCGUGACGGCGCGAGCAGGUGCGAAAGCAGGUCAUAGUGAUCCGGUGGUUCUGAAUGGAAGGGCCAUCGCUCAACGGAUAAAAGGUACUCCGGGGAUAACAGGCUGAUACCGCCCAAGAGUUCAUAUCGACGGCGGUGUUUGGCACCUCGAUGUCGGCUCAUCACAUCCUGGGGCUGAAGUAGGUCCCAAGGGUAUGGCUGUUCGCCAUUUAAAGUGGUACGCGAGCUGGGUUUAGAACGUCGUGAGACAGUUCGGUCCCUAUCUGCCGUGGGCGCUGGAGAACUGAGGGGGGCUGCUCCUAGUACGAGAGGACCGGAGUGGACGCAUCACUGGUGUUCGGGUUGUCAUGCCAAUGGCACUGCCCGGUAGCUAAAUGCGGAAGAGAUAAGUGCUGAAAGCAUCUAAGCACGAAACUUGCCCCGAGAUGAGUUCUCCCUGACUCCUUGAGAGUCCUGAAGGAACGUUGAAGACGACGACGUUGAUAGGCCGGGUGUGUAAGCGCAGCGAUGCGUUGAGCUAACCGGUACUAAUGAACCGUGAGGCUUAACCUUACAACGCCGAAGGUGUUU
Molecule: ribosomal RNA, 1014 nt
Filed under: Escherichia coli
Lineage: Bacteria; Pseudomonadati; Pseudomonadota; Gammaproteobacteria; Enterobacterales; Enterobacteriaceae
Description: bacterial LSU rRNA
Rfam family: Bacterial large subunit ribosomal RNA
Source: RNAcentral